Molecule: unclassified non-coding RNA, 982 nt
Filed under: Hevea brasiliensis (rubber tree)
Lineage: Eukaryota; Viridiplantae; Streptophyta; Magnoliopsida; Malpighiales; Euphorbiaceae
Source: RNAcentral
GGGCAAGAGGCGAGGUUCACUGCCUAGGUGGAGGCAGCGUGAUGAGCCAUUGAGGAGCCGUCGACUUGAGGCAACGGGGUCGUUGCCAAGUUGAGUGGGGGAGAAUGUCACCCCACAAAUUUUCACUCCCGUAGAGGUCCAAUUUUUUUCGCAAGGUAGCCUACAGAGGGAGGUUCAGUGGGCGUAAGUCCUUGCGGGGCAAAGGGGUGGUACGCAUUGUGUGGUAGGCAAUGCGGGCGGAAAUUGAGGUUUUUCGGCUAAACAGGCUCAUCGGGUGAGCUGGGGAGCAAUUUGGCAAGUGCAGGCCGAAAUGAGGUUCAAGCUGCCAAGCCGGGCCCAAAAUGAGGUUCACUGCGGGCUGGAGGCCUACUGGCGCCUGCGGAGCGUGCUGGGGAGCUACGCGGGCCAAAACGAGGUUCAGGAGGCCUAGCGCGGGCCCGAAGGCCAAUCGGGCGUGUGGCAGCGAGCUGGGGGCGAGACAGGCCCAAAACGAGGUUCACCGGGCGAGGCGCGGGCCCGAAGCCCAGAGGAGCGCGCGGGAACGGGCGCGCGGGAGUGCUGGGCGCGCGCGGGAAAGGCGCGCGGGCAAAUGAGGUUCAAACUGGCGCGGGAAGGCAGGGCGCGCGCGCGGGCGAGGUUCAAAUCGCGCGCGGGAGCUGCGAGGCGCGCGCGGGCCGCGGGACGAAACGAGGUUCACCCGCGAAGGUUCUGGAAGCGCCUGGAAGGCGCGCGGAGCGUCUGGGGCGCGCGGGAAGCGUCGGGCGCGCGCGGGCUGGGCGCCAGCCCGCCCAAACGAGGUUCCCUCUGCGCAGCAGCCCGCCAAAAUGAGGUUCUCCCGCCAGAAAUCUGCAGCCCGCCCAUUUUCGAAUUUUGGCCGCCAAAGGGAGUUCAAGCUCGGCCAAAACACUAUAAAUAGGGGUUCUAAGGCAAAUUUUGAUGCAUAGAGAGUUCCUUGAUGCUCCUUGUACACUUAGCCAAAUUU